CUUUGCGGAGGAGCUGGUUAUAUGAGCCCAUUUGAGUGUCACAGGUGUAAACAGGCCUCAUCAUUAAAUGUUUUAUGUAGACCUUAUUCCAUCUGUGAUCCAAAUAAAUUGGAUAUUCUGUCUUUCCUACUUGAACACACUUUCACCUGAGCAAAAUGUUUUGUUACCAUAGCAUUUUAUUUUUCAAACUGUGAGAUAUGUUUUCUGUUUUAUCACUGGAAUGUUCCGCUGUGUUACAGAGAUUUUCCAUUGCCCACACAUCGAAAGAGAAUCGUCCCACAAACAUAAUUCCCCUCAUUGUCAAACCAUUGCCAAAAUGAUAUGAUAGAGAAGCAUUAAACUCCAACCUGUCUUUAUCUCAAAACAUCUUCAUCUACAGCAGGUCAACAUACAGAGCCUGUUGAUUUGUGACACCACAAGCAUGGAACAGUCUGGGCCGUGAUCAGCUCAGGCAGAAUUACGCUUGAGACGGAAGUCUCCCUGAGUCUCCCUCUGCCCUGCAGUCAGUCCAUUCUUCCAGAAACAGCCAACUGACAACAUCCUCUUCCAUCAUAAUCAUUUUCUUAACAUACAUUCAUCUGUCUCAUCAUUUGAUCUAUCAUUAAAUAUCUAAAACACAUUGUGGUUGUGGCGUGGUCCUUGCUAGUGUGUGUUGUGUUAAAUAAAAAUAAAAACUGAAUGGGAGAAUUUUCCAAACAUCAACAGCCCCAUAAUUAAUUGGAAAUAGAACAAAGACAACAUAUCAAAGGUUAAACCAGAAAAAUGUAAAUGCCUAUUUUGAAAAUUUUGCUCGCAACACACAAAAAACAGGAACAGUGGCAACAAAAGACAGAAAAAGGUGAGAAAUGCUAAAGAAAACAACUGGUUGUACAUCUUCCAGUUAAUUAGGUUGACUAGCAACAGGUUAGUGACAUGACUGGGUAUAAAAAAAGCAUCCCAGAGAGUGUAUCUGAAGUAAGGGUGUGGAGGGGUUAACCACUUCACACCAGUGAAAUACUGUGCUCAAAAACAUAUAGACCUCCUUCUGCACCCUCUGAUGUUUGGUUGCUACUAUGAAUUCAAUUGCAAACAGGAAUUAAAUUAUUUUACUAGAUGACUUUAAUAAAAAUUGGACCAACAAAUCCUCCAAAGAAAAAAACAUUUUUGGAAAUUUGAACCAAACUCAGCUAAUUGGAGAGCCCACUCGUGUCACACCUACAACUCAGUUUUUUUAGACUGGAUACUGGUCUCACAUUGAAACAGAUUUAUAAAAGCAGGUGUUGUGUAUGACUGUUUCAUUAGUGACCAUUUCAUAGUAUAAUGUAUCUGGAAAAUUAAAUUACCCAAACUACCACCCAAAUUUAUUAGAAUUAGGAAAUAUAAGAAAAUGAAUGUUGAUCAGUUCAUUAAUGACAAUCAAUUGGGAUAGGUUCCAAUUAAUUCCAAAUGUACAAGAUGCAUGAGACUUUGUAUAUCCAGAAUUUAUUUAAGCUUUUGAUAAACAUGCUCCCCUGAAAUCUACUAAAGUCAAGGGAGCGCAUCUACCAUGAUAAUUCUCUGACCUUACACAGUUAUAUAGACAGAGAGAUAAUGCAUGGUCCACAUUUCGCAAAACGAAGUAUCCGGCUGACCGGCUUGGUCCUCUUCUUUAGUCUAUUUUUGUCUAUGACCUCCUCUCAAUCUCCUCAGAGUGUUGUGUUUAGCUCUAUGCCGAUGAUACAGUAAUAUACACAUCUAAAAUUAAUGUAGAACAAACAGAAACAGCUCUUCAAUCUGACUUCAACACCAUUCAACAAUGGCUCUAACAAAUAAAUUACUGUUGAAUGAAAACAAAUCUCACUCAAUGAUCUUCGGAAAUCCCCAAAUCAUUUAAUCUAAAUCGAAAGGCCAAAACUGCAUUAUUACAUGUCUCGUAGAAAAACCAUUGUAGAAGGUUGAAAUGAGAUAAAUACCUUGAGAUGCAAAAAGCAGAGAUUAGAUUUAGAGGCCCCCAAACUGGAAACCCUCCUCCCUCCAGUUGCUCCUUGAGAGCCUGUCCAUGAAAAUCAUAAACAGAUCCGGUGACAAGGGGCAAACCAACAUGUCAGACUUUGUGCUGAGGAUGCGGACACAACUCCCGUUUUGGUCAUACAGGGACAGGAUGGCUCGUAGCAACGGCCCCAGGACCCCAUAUUCCCACAGUACCCCCAACAUGAUCCCCCAGGGGACACAGUCAUAAGCCUUUUCCAAGUCCACAAAACACAUGUAGACUGGAUGAGCGUGCCUCCCCAAGAAGCCCUGCGAGGGUAAAGACCUGGUCCACUGUCCCACAGCCAGGACGUAAUCCACAUUGUUCCUCCUGUAUCUGAGGUUUGAAAAUCAGUCAUAGCCUCCUUUCCAGCACCCUAGAGUAAACUUUCCCCGGAAGGCUGGGAAGUGUGAUACUUAAUUGGAGCACACCCUCUAGUCCCCCUUUUUGAAAAUGGGAACCACCACACCAGUCUGCCACUCCGCAGACACUGUCCGAGACUCCAUGCAACAUUGAAGAGACGUGUCAGCCAACAUUGUCCAGAGCCUUGAGCAUUUCAGGGCGAUUCACAGCCACACCUGGCGCCUUGCCACUUAGGAGCUUUCUAACUGCCUCAGGGACCUUUGCCAAGGUUAGUGGUAAGGCUUCCCCUGGAUCCUCAGACUCUGCCUCCUCUUCAGAGGAUAUGUUGUAUGAGUCCAGGAGUUCCUCAAAGUAUUCCUUCCACCACCCAAAAAUGUCCCCAGUCCGGUUCAGCAGUUUUCGAUCCCUGAUGUUAACAGCCUGAGCCAUCGGACGGUUUGCCAGAACCUCCUUGAGGCCAACCAAAAGUCCUUCUCCAAAGCCUCCCCGAACUCCUCCCACACCUGGAUUUGUGCUUCCACAACCACUGAAGCCACAGCCCUCCGAGCCACCCGAUACCUGUCAUUUGCUUCCAGAGACCCCUGCGCUAACCAAGCCUGAAAGGCCUCCUUCUGCAGCCUUACGACUUCACCACUGGUAUCCACCAGAGAGUUCUUAGGUUGCUGCCACGACAGGCACCGACGGUCUUCUGACCGCAACUCCUAGCAGCCGCUUCCACAAUGGAGGCUUUGAACAUGGACCACUUGAACUCUAUGUCCCCAACCUCCCCCGGGAUAAAAGAGAAGUUCUCCUGGGAGGUGGGAGUUGAAGACCCCACAGACAAGGACCUCUGCCAGACGCUCCCAGUUCACCUGCAAUACACAUUUUGGUUUGCCAGGUUAGCAGCUUUCCCCACUAUCUGAUCCAACUCACCACCAGGUGGUAAUCAGUUUACAGCUCUGCUCCUCUCUUCACCCGAGUGUCCAAAACAUACGGUGAUCAUUGAUCUUUGGAAUAGGGUGUUCUGGUACCAGGUACACUUAUGAACAUCUCUAUGUUCAAACAUGGUGUUUGUAAUGGCCAAUCCAUCAUUAGAACAGCAGACCAACAACAAAAAAACACUCAGUUUCAGUUCGGGCAGGCCAUUCCUCCCAAUCACUCCCUUCCAGGUGUCUCCAUUGUUGAAGUCGCCCAGUAGAACUACAGAAUUCCCAAGUGGAAUCCCUGGCUGGGGGCUUAUGAGUAUCAUCACACCCGCCCGGCGCCUCUCACUCAGGGCAACUCCAGAAAAGGAGAGAGUCCAGCCCCUCUACAGGAGUUUGGUUCCAGAACCGGUGCCAUGCAUUGAGGUGAGCCCAACUAUCUCUAGCUGGUAGCGCGCCACCUCCAGCGCCAGCUCUGUCUCCUUCCCCGCAAGAAAGAUGAAGUUCCCCGUCCCCAGAACUAGUCUGCGCUGCUGGGGAUUAGCAUGCCUAGACAUCCGCCUACGCCUGCCACCUGGUUUGUCAUGCACCAGGUGCACCUACCCCCCAUGUCUCUCACUGCGGGUUGUGGGCCAACAGGGCAUGGAUUUGAAAUCCAAUGUGGUAUUAAUGGAAAAAAAAAUGUGCUUGUGGAUUUUUCAUUGUUGAAAGCAAAUUUUCUAAACAAAAGUCAUCCAAGUGUUAUUAAGUAAUAUUCUAAAUAUGAUUGUAGUAAGGCAAUUACCAUGACAAGUAACCAUAGAUUUGCAAAACUUAUAAAAUCAUAUUUUAACUUGGUCGUUUAUCCUGGAGAUUACUUUUUGGUUCUUGCAUGAAUACAAACUGAACUGUUAACAAAAAGGCUUAAUAUGCAUAAAACCAACCAAUGUGGCAAAAAUAAAACAAUUUCAGAUCAGGUUUUGAGUUCAUUCAACAAAAAAUAUUUUUGCAUUGUGUAAGACCUUUUUUCCAGUUUUCUGUUGAAGUGUCCUUGGAACUGAACUGGUCAGCAGCUUCUGAAUGUGUAUUAAUGGUUAAUAUGGACUACUUUACAUAGCAGUGAGAAUGUCUGUGAAUGGGUGAAUAUGACAUGCAGUAUAAAAAGUACUUUGCAUAGUCAGAAGACCAGAAAAGACUAGAGAUCUAUUGAGGCUAGCAUGGCUAAAAAUAAAGCUGUAACACUCUGAUUUUGUGUAUUUUGGGUGAUCAACUCUUAAGAGUUAAAUAAGCAUCGGUGUUGUUGCCUUUUU
Molecule: long non-coding RNA, 4541 nt
Organism: Labrus bergylta (ballan wrasse)
Lineage: Eukaryota; Metazoa; Chordata; Actinopteri; Labriformes; Labridae
Source: RefSeq, a predicted model, not a curated record